GGAGUCUAGCAUGUGCGCGAGUCAUUGGGUUCGCACUAAACCUAAAGGCGUAAUGAAAGUGAAGGUCCGCCUCGCGCGGGCCUAGGGAGGAUGGGUCUGCCCCCGGGCCGGCCCCGCACUCCCGGGGCGUCUCGUUCUCAUCGCGAGAAGAGGCGCACCCAGAGCGUACACGCUGGGACCCGAAAGAUGGUGAACUAUGCCUGGUCAGGACGAAGUCAGGGGAAACCCUGAUGGAGGUCCGUAGCGAUUCUGACGUGCAAAUCGAUCGUCGGAACUGGGUAUAGGGGCGAAAGACUAAUCGAACCAUCUAGUAGCUGGUUCCCUCCGAAGUUUCCCUCAGGAUAGCUGGCGCUCGCCGUGCGCGAGUCUCAUUCGGUAAAGCGAAUGAUUAGAGGCAUUGGGGUCGAAACGGCCUCAACCUAUUCUCAAACUUUAAAUGGGUGAGAUCUCCGGCUUGCUUGAAUGUGAAGCCGCGAGAUAUCGGAUCAGAGUGCCAAGUGGGCCACUUUUGGUAAGCAGAACUGGCGCUGUGGGAUGAACCAAACGCCGAGUUAAAGCGCCAAAAUCGACGCUUAUGGGAUACCAUGAAAGGCGUUGGUAACUUAAGACAGCAGGACGGUGGCCAU
This 626-nucleotide ribosomal RNA is filed under the name Pleurophorus caesus. RNAcentral's name for it is "eukaryotic LSU rRNA". It matches the Rfam family "Eukaryotic large subunit ribosomal RNA", at positions 670 to 1255 of the family's 3401-position model. Lineage: Eukaryota; Metazoa; Arthropoda; Insecta; Coleoptera; Scarabaeidae. The record is from RNAcentral.